AUACGGAGGAUGCGAGCGUUAUCCGGAUUUAUUGGGUUUAAAGGGUGCGUAGGCUGAGGAGUAAGUCAGGGGUGAAAUGCCGCAGCUCAACUGCGGAACUGCCUUUGAUACUGCUUUUCUGGAGUCCGGAUGCCGUGGGAGGAAUGGGCAGUGUAGCGGUGAAAUGCAUAGAUAUUGCCCAGAACACCGAUUGCGAAGGCAUCUCACGAAUCCGGCACUGACGCUGAGGCACGAAAGCGUGGGGAUCAAACAGGAUUAGAUACCCUGGUAGUCCACGCAGUAAACGAUGAUAACUAACCGUCGGCGAUAGACAGUCGGUGGCCAAGCGAAAGCGAUAAGUUAUCCACCUGGGGAGUACGUUCGCAAGAAUGAAACUCAAAUGAAUUGGCGGGG
RNAcentral lists this ribosomal RNA (393 nucleotides) under uncultured bacterium. RNAcentral's name for it is "partial 16S ribosomal RNA". It matches the Rfam family "Bacterial small subunit ribosomal RNA", at positions 523 to 918 of the family's 1533-position model. The record is from RNAcentral.